Molecule: transfer RNA, 72 nt
Filed under: Camelus ferus (Wild Bactrian camel)
Lineage: Eukaryota; Metazoa; Chordata; Mammalia; Artiodactyla; Camelidae
Rfam family: tRNA
About the family: Transfer RNA (tRNA) molecules are approximately 80 nucleotides in length. Their secondary structure includes four short double-helical elements and three loops (D, anti-codon, and T loops). Further hydrogen bonds mediate the characteristic L-shaped molecular structure. tRNAs have two regions of fundamental functional importance: the anti-codon, which is responsible for specific mRNA codon recognition, and the 3' end, to which the tRNAs corresponding amino acid is attached (by aminoacyl-tRNA synthetases). tRNAs cope with the degeneracy of the genetic code in two manners: having more than one tRNA (with a specific anti-codon) for a particular amino acid; and 'wobble' base-pairing, i.e. permitting non-standard base-pairing at the 3rd anti-codon position.
Source: Rfam by way of RNAcentral
GUGGGUAUAGCUCAGUGGUAGAGUAUGUGCUCAGCAUGCACGAGGUCCUGGGUUCAAUCCCUAGUACCUCUA